GACGAACGCUGGCGGCGUGCCUAAUACAUGCAAGUUGAGCGCUGAAGGUUGGUACUUGUACCGACUGGAUGAGCAGCGAACGGGUGAGUAACGCGUGGGGAAUCUGCCUUUGAGCGGGGGACAACAUUUGGAAACGAAUGCUAAUACCGCAUAAAAACUUUAAACACAAGUUUUAAGUUUGAAAGAUGCAAUUGCAUCACUCAAAGAUGAUCCCGCGUUGUAUUAGCUAGUUGGUGAGGUAAAGGCUCACCAAGGCGAUGAUACAUAGCCGACCUGGGAGGGUGAUCGGCCACAUUGGGACUGAGACACGGCCCAAACUCCUACGGGAGGCAGCAGUAGGGAAUCUUCGGCAAUGGACGAAAGUCUGACCGAGCAACGCCGCGUGAGUGAAGAAGGUUUUCGGAUCGUAAAACUCUGUUGGUAGAGAAGAACGUUGGUGAGAGUGGAAAGCUCAUCAAGUGACGGUAACUACCCAGAAAGGGACGGCUAACUACGUG
RNAcentral lists this ribosomal RNA (497 nucleotides) under uncultured bacterium. RNAcentral's name for it is "partial 16S ribosomal RNA". It matches the Rfam family "Bacterial small subunit ribosomal RNA", at positions 28 to 507 of the family's 1533-position model. The record is from RNAcentral.